RNAcentral lists this ribosomal RNA (270 nucleotides) under uncultured bacterium. RNAcentral's name for it is "partial 16S ribosomal RNA". It matches the Rfam family "Bacterial small subunit ribosomal RNA", at positions 524 to 793 of the family's 1533-position model. The record is from RNAcentral.
GACGAACCGAGCGAACGUUGUUCGGAAUCACUGGGCUUAAAGGGCGCGUAGGCGGGCAUUCAAGUCUGUGGUGAAAUCCGGCAGCUCAACUGUCGAAUUGCCGUGGAUACUGGGUGUCUCGAGGGAGGCAGGGGUGCGCGGAACUAAUGGUGGAGCGGUGAAAUGCGUUGAUAUCAUUAGGAACUCCGGUGGCGAAGGCGGCGCACUGGUCCGAUAUUGACGCUGAGACGCGAAAGCGUGGGUAGCAAACAGGAUUAGAAACCCCGGUAC